Molecule: long non-coding RNA, 124 nt
Filed under: Dasypus novemcinctus (nine-banded armadillo)
Lineage: Eukaryota; Metazoa; Chordata; Mammalia; Cingulata; Dasypodidae
Description: lncRNA (ENSDNOG00000050758.1)
Source: RNAcentral
UGAGUGAUCACAGUUUUUGAGAAUCACGAUGAGGCAUUAAGAGGAGAAGUGUCCCAAGGGAGGUGAGCUGGAGGCAAAGCAAGCUAGGAGAAUCUUCAGGAAGAACUGGUUGGUUGAAUUCUCA